GGGCCCGCACAAGCGGUGGAGCAUGUGGUUUAAUUCGAUGCAACGCGAAGAACCUUACCAGGGUUUGACAUGAUACGAAUUUCUUUGAAAGAAGAAAGUGCCGUUUGGAACGUAUACACAGGUGGUGCAUGGCUGUCGUCAGCCCGUGUCGUGAGAUGUUGGGUUAAGUCCCGCAACGAGCGCAACCCUUGUUUUAGUUGCCUUUUAUGGAACUCUAAAAGACUGCCGGUUAUAAACCGGAGGAAGGUGGGGAUGACGUCAAGUCAGCAUGCCCCUUACACCCUGGGCUACACACGUGCUACAUUGGGCGAGACAAUGAGAUGCAAAUCUGUGAAGACUAGCU
This 343-nucleotide ribosomal RNA is filed under the name uncultured bacterium. RNAcentral describes it as "bacterial SSU rRNA". It matches the Rfam family "Bacterial small subunit ribosomal RNA", at positions 917 to 1269 of the family's 1533-position model. The record is from RNAcentral.